Schizosaccharomyces pombe (fission yeast) is the source of this 418-nucleotide non-coding RNA. Lineage: Eukaryota; Fungi; Ascomycota; Schizosaccharomycetes; Schizosaccharomycetales; Schizosaccharomycetaceae. The record is from the annotation of a GenBank genome assembly.
UUCUUAAGUUGCAUUGAAAACGGUUGACAAUAAAAAUAGUGUAAAACAGUCGUCAACUAACGGUUCGUGAUGACAAUUAGUUUUAGUCUAUUUUAUUAUUUUUAAUACAUAGCUUAACUGAGCAAAUUACGAAGAAACUAAGGAAAAAAAACUAUUGCCCAUUGGUAAGUUAAUUUUCUCUUGGAUAUUAAAAUAAAAUGAAAUGGAAUCACAAUUGAAGCAUUUCAAAGCAACCGCCUGAAGAGAAGGUGUUUUAGUCAAGCAUUACCGCAACGGUAUUAAUUGAUUGACAAACUAAGGAUUUAAAAAAACACAAAGAAAGAAUUAGAUUUAAAAGGCCCAUAAGUGCGUGAUUAGUGGAAUGUCAUAAACAGAAGGAAAAAAACACAACAGUAAUAGCUUGCAAGGAGAAGCUAAC